GACGAACGCUGGCGGCGUGCUUAACACAUGCAAGUCGAACGGAAAGGCCCUGCUUUUGUGGGGUGCUCGAGUGGCGAACGGGUGAGUAACACGUGAGUAACCUGCCCUUGACUUUGGGUUAACUUCAGGAAACUUGGGCUAAUACCGGAUAGGAGCUCCUGCUGCAUGGUGGGGGUUGGAAAGUUUCGGCGGUUGGGGAUGGACUCGCGGCUUAUCAGCUUGUUGGUGGGGUAGUGGCUUACCAAGGCUUUGACGGGUAGCCGGCCUGAGAGGGUGACCGGCCACAUUGGGACUGAGAUACGGCCCAGACUCCUACGGGAGGCAGCAGUGGGGAAUAUUGCACAAUGGGCGGAAGCCUGAUGCAGCAACGCCGCGUGCGGGAUGACGGCCUUCGGGUUGUAAACCGCUUUCGCCUGUGACGAAGCGUGAGUGACGGUAAUGGGUAAAGAAGCACCGGCUAACUACGUG
Molecule: ribosomal RNA, 468 nt
Filed under: uncultured bacterium
Lineage: Bacteria
Description: partial 16S ribosomal RNA
Rfam family: Bacterial small subunit ribosomal RNA
Source: RNAcentral